Molecule: ribosomal RNA, 173 nt
Filed under: Pseudomonas alliivorans
Lineage: Bacteria; Pseudomonadati; Pseudomonadota; Gammaproteobacteria; Pseudomonadales; Pseudomonadaceae
Description: partial 23S ribosomal RNA
Rfam family: Bacterial large subunit ribosomal RNA
Source: RNAcentral
GGUCAAGUGAAGAAGCGCAUACGGUGGAUGCCUUGGCAGUCAGAGGCGAUGAAAGACGUGGUAGCCUGCGAAAAGCUUCGGGGAGUCGGCAAACAGACUGUGAUCCGGAGAUGUCUGAAUGGGGGAACCCAACUGUCAUAAGACAGUUACCUUACACUGAAUACAUAGGUGUA